UGUGGAUAUGCGUUUGUAUUGAACAUUUUGUGGUAUUGUACAUGUUGUGGAUAUGUGGUGGUAUUGAACAUGUUGUGGAUAUGUGGUGGUAUUGAACAUGUUGUGGAUAUGUGGUGGUAUUGAACAUGUUGUGGAUAUGUGGAGGUAUUGAACAUGUUGUGUUGUGGAUAUGUGGUGGUAUUGAUUAUGUUAUGGAUAUGUUGUGGUAUUGAACAUGUUGUGUUGUGGAUAUGUGGAGGUAUUGAACAUGUUGUGGAUAUGUGGUGGUAUUGAACAUGUUGUGGAUAUGUGGUGGUAUUGAACAUGUUGUGUUGUGGAUAUGUGGUGGUAUUGAUUAUGUUAUGGAUAUGUUGUGGUAUUGAACAUGUUGUGGAUAUGUUGUGGUAUUGAACAUGUUGUGCUGUGGAUAUGUGGUGGUAUUGAUUAUGUUGUGGAUAUGUGGUGGCAUUGAACAUGUAGUGGAUAUGUGGUGGUAUUGAACAUGUUGUGGUUAUGUGGUGGUAUUGAACAUGUUGUGGAUAUGUGGUGGUAUUGAACAUGUUGUGGAUAUGUGGUGGUAUUGAACAUGUUGUGUUGUGGAUAUGUGCUGGUAUUGAACAUGUUGUGGAUAUGUUGUGGUAUUAAACAUGUUGUGUUGUGGAUAUGCGUUUGUAUUGAACAUUUUGUGGCAUUGAACAUGUUGUGGAUAUGUGGUGUUAUUGAACAUGUUGUGCUGUGGAUAUGUGGUGGUAUUGAUUAUGUUGUGGAUAUGUGGUGGUAUUGAACAUGUGGUGGAUAUGUGGUGGUAUUGAACAUGUUGUGGUAUGUGGUGGCAUUGAACAUGUAGUGGAUAUGUGGUGGUAUUGACCAUGUUGUGGAUAUGUGGUGGUAUUGAACAUGUUGUGGAUAUGUUGUGGUAUUAAACAUGUUGUGUUGUGGAUAUGUGGUGGUAUUGAUUAUGUUAUGGAUAUGUUGUGGUAUUGAUUAUGUUGUGGAUAUGUGGUGGCAUUGAACAUGUAGUGGAUAUGUGGUGGUAUUGAACAUGUUGUGGAUAUGUGGUGGUAUUGAACAUGUUGUGGAUAUGUGGUGGUAUUGAACAUGUUGUGGAUAUGUGGAGGUAUUGAACAUGUUGUGGUUAUGUGGAGGUAUUGAACAUGUUGUGGAUAUGUGGUGGUAUUGAACAUGUUGUGGAUAUGUUGUGGUAUUAAACAUGUUGUGUUGUGGAUAUGUGGUGGCAUUGAACAUGUAGUGGAUAUGUG
Oncorhynchus tshawytscha (Chinook salmon) is the source of this 1238-nucleotide long non-coding RNA. The record is from Ensembl. NCBI's taxonomy places the organism in Eukaryota, Metazoa, Chordata, Actinopteri, Salmoniformes, Salmonidae.